This 301-nucleotide ribosomal RNA is filed under the name uncultured bacterium. RNAcentral describes it as "partial 16S ribosomal RNA". It matches the Rfam family "Bacterial small subunit ribosomal RNA", at positions 509 to 807 of the family's 1533-position model. The record is from RNAcentral.
CAGCCGCCACGGGAAUACGGAGGGUGCAAGCGUUAAUCGGAAUUACUGGGCGUAAAGCGUGCGUAGGCGGUUCGUUAAGUCUGUUGCGAAAGCCCCGGGCUCAACCUGGGAAUGGCAAUGGAUACCGGCGAGCUAGAGUGUGUCAGAGGAUGGUGGAAUUCCCGGUGUAGCGGUGAAAUGCGUAGAGAUCGGGAGGAACAUCAGUGGCGAAGGCGGCCAUCUGGGACAACACUGACGCUGAGGCACGAAAGCGUGGGGAGCAAACAGGAUUAGAUACCCCUGUAGUCCCUGUCUCUUAUAC